CCUGACUCUCCGAGUGGCCUUAGGCGCCAGCCGACCCUUCCCGAGUCUGGAAGGCCCCGGUGCUGGGAGCAGAGGUCUUAGAUGGCGCGAGGAUUACGAAGAUGUCUUUCAUCAUGACCCUGCCCUUGCCUAGAUUUCCUGGGCUGUUUCACCUCACUCAGCUUCAGGUACCUUCCGGAUGCGAGGGAAAAGGCAGAGUUGUAUUCGUAAAGAAGGGGGUGAAAGGCACAACUGGCUGUGGCCGAGAGGUCCCCGGGCCUACCACAUACCGAAAGUCCCCCUACGCGCCACUAAACUCAGCUCCCAGCAAAGAGCUACUGUCAGGCGGGCGUGAGAGACCCUGAGAA
Nyctereutes procyonoides (raccoon dog) is the source of this 347-nucleotide long non-coding RNA. RefSeq lists it as uncharacterized. NCBI's taxonomy places the organism in Eukaryota, Metazoa, Chordata, Mammalia, Carnivora, Canidae. The transcript has 3 exons. The record is from RefSeq and is a predicted model, not a curated record.